RNAcentral lists this ribosomal RNA (432 nucleotides) under uncultured bacterium. RNAcentral describes it as "partial 16S ribosomal RNA". It matches the Rfam family "Bacterial small subunit ribosomal RNA", at positions 29 to 507 of the family's 1533-position model. The record is from RNAcentral.
ACGCACGCUGGCGGCAUGCCUCACACCUGCAAGUCGCACGAGACCUUCGGGUCUAGUGGCGCACGGGUGCGUAACGCGUGGGAACCUGCCCUUAGGUUCGGAAUAACUCCCCGAAAGGGGUGCUAAUACCGGAUAAUGUCUUCGGACCAAAGAUUUAUCGCCUUUGGAUGGGCCCGCGUUGGAUUAGCUAGUUGGUAGGGUAAAAGCCUACCAAGGCGACGAUCCAUAGCUGGUCUGAGAGGAUGAUCAGCCACACUGGGACUGAGACACGGCCCAGACUCCUACGGGAGGCAGCAGUGGGGAAUAUUGGACAAUGGGCGAAAGCCUGAUCCAGCAAUGCCGCGUGAGUGAUGAAGGCCUUAGGGUUGUAAAGCUCUUUUACCCGGGAUGAUAAUGACAGUACCGGGAGAAUAAGCUCCGGCUAACUCCGUG